Molecule: ribosomal RNA, 465 nt
Filed under: Vreelandella stevensii
Lineage: Bacteria; Pseudomonadati; Pseudomonadota; Gammaproteobacteria; Oceanospirillales; Halomonadaceae
Description: partial 16S ribosomal RNA
Rfam family: Bacterial small subunit ribosomal RNA
Source: RNAcentral
CCUACGGGCGGCAGCAGUGGGGAAUAUUGGACAAUGGGCGAAAGCCUGAUCCAGCCAUGCCGCGUGUGUGAAGAAGGCCUUCGGGUUGUAAAGCACUUUCAGUGGGGAAGAAAGCCUUGGGGCUAAUACCCUCGAGGAAGGACAUCACCCACAGAAGAAGCACCGGCUAACUCCGUGCCAGCAGCCGCGGUAAUACGGAGGGUGCGAGCGUUAAUCGGAAUUACUGGGCGUAAAGCGCGCGUAGGCGGUCUGAUAAGCCGGUUGUGAAAGCCCCGGGCUCAACCUGGGAACGGCAUCCGGAACUGUCAGGCUAGAGUGCAGGAGAGGAAGGUAGAAUUCCCGGUGUAGCGGUGAAAUGCGUAGAGAUCGGGAGGAAUACCAGUGGCGAAGGCGGCCUUCUGGACUGACACUGACGCUGAGGUGCGAAAGCGUGGGUAGCAAACAGGAUUAGAUACCCCGGUAUUC